AUGUUUAGACACGGUGAAUGAUUUACCGUGUUUAGUAUGUAUAUUUUGUAUGUUGAAAAGAGGAAUAUGGAGUAGGGAUGUCAAUAGGUAUGGAUAUUCGAAAUAUUAUCCGAACCCAAACCCGAAUAAAUUAUAUAUAUAUAUACAUAAUUUAUUUUUAUUUAUUUAUACAAUAUAUAAAAUAUUUAAUCGCUGGAUGAAGAUCUAAGGAACGGUUAAAUAUUUUAUAUAUUGUAUAAAUAAAUAAAAAUAAAUUAUGUAUAUGUA
RNAcentral lists this long non-coding RNA (267 nucleotides) under Ananas comosus (pineapple). RNAcentral's name for it is "long non-coding RNA (ACOM_LNC025933)". Lineage: Eukaryota; Viridiplantae; Streptophyta; Magnoliopsida; Poales; Bromeliaceae. The record is from RNAcentral.